AUGUCACUAAAAUGUACACAGCACCCUGGAUCCUCACUGUGGAGAAGGAAAAACUAGCACCUGAGUUUCAACACAGAGGUGAUGUUGACUAGAAGCCUUCACUGGGCCAACAGGACUGGUCAUUUGUUUUUUGUUGUUAAAGGACAGACAGCUUGAGCAAACCACUUUCUUUCGUGCGUGCCUACUUCUGAUGGGACUUCUUCAAGAACAGACACUGCCCGCACAUUAGCCUUAAGAGGCAGCUUAGAGUACGCCCGAUAAACUUCCGCUGUGAAGCAUCAGCCCCAGCAUAAUAAAGAACACAGUCACCUUCCUGCCAGUGUCUGGGAAGAAAAGUGAUGCCUGGAGGCUCCAGUUGGUGAACAAAUUCAAAGUCGUUAUUUGGUGAAAAGAAUAUAAUUUUCAGAAAGUUAAACAAAUCCACAAGUGAGAAAUUUGACAUUGUAAAAGAAGUGAGAAAUUCUGCCUGCCAGGGGGACUUGAGAGGAGGUAAGGAGACGUAUGUCUGAGCUGAUGUAUCAUCAUCCCAGCAUGUUGGGGCCAAAGGCAAUGUUGAAAAGGUCAGAGAUUGGACUGAUUCAAACACAGGAUGAAACGUGAGGGUGAAGGCUGAAGAGCUGAACUCAGAUCUGGGACAGGAGCUCAUAUUCUGAAGGAAAGCUUGUUCACGGGGAGAGCUUCUGUGCCAGGUGCUGCAAGCGAUGCACGGAACCAGCAAGCCUGACAUUUGCUCUGAUCUUCUAGAGAGGACUGAUAAAACUGUGCUUUCUGAAGAGAUGCACAAGGAAGGAGCCACGAAGACGGGUCCCACACUGCAGAGCCAGGCCUCUGAGAAGAGCAGAGCUCUGGCCUCCAUGCACCUCCAAGCACCUUUGUGAACCCCUCUAUUUAACCAGCACAUUUGCUGAUGCACGCUAGGAUGGGAUAUAGCACUGAACCUCAAGCUCACCAGUUCAUUUUGUCUGGCUGGCUGUUAAGCCAUAGACAUCCUUCUGUCUCUGUCUCCUGUCACCCCAGAGUUGAGAUUACAGGCUAUAUGUAAGAGUAUAAGAAUGAGCUGUAUCUCCCUGCUGAACCCUGGAAUAGAAGGUAGAUGUCAGAAAGACACUAAAGUCAUCAAAAUACAGUUCAGAGUUGUUUACAGAGCACAGGGGUCAGGCCUCGACCCAGACCAGCACAGCAUUCAGCAGUGUUCACUGGGAGGAGUGGAGAAAUCUGCCACUACCUGCCCUGCUUUCCUCUGGAACAGAUGAACAGCCAGACCACCUGCAGCAUAAGCCAAGAGGCUACACCUGCAGUGCACAUAUCUACAAGUGGAAGGAGCCUUCCACAGUCCACACUGAAGCUCAGUUUCCAUAGCCGGUUCCUGGAAGCACCCCACCCCCCAAUCCCAGCAGCUGGAGCAGGAAGAACGCACUAUGUUUGGGGGAGUCAAGGCAGCCCACCUCCUCCAUCAGACACCUUCUGAUCAAUGAGAAAUCUCUUAACUUGGAAUCCUGCUUACUAAAAGACAUUGAUUGGUGCAUGCAACACAGCAAAUCCCACAGUGGACGGAAGAUGAGUGACACUGGCUGUCACCUUCUACAAGACGAGUUAUCACCUUCUACAAGCAAAAUAUAAGGCAGAGGAUUUGAAGGGCAGGAAGAUAACUAUUGCACACCUAAGAAGAAGUGGUCUGGGCCUGUGAUGAUGAGCUCAUGGCACACGUCCACACUGUCUUGUAGAUGUAAUUCUAAACAGUCUUAUUAAAUAAGAAACACAGAGUCAAAUGAAGAGUUAAAAGCCCAGAGAUCAAGCAGUAGCCAAGAGCUAAGACCACGUUAUCUUACCACUU
Non-coding RNA from Peromyscus maniculatus bairdii (prairie deer mouse), 1834 nucleotides. The record is from RefSeq and is a predicted model, not a curated record. Lineage: Eukaryota; Metazoa; Chordata; Mammalia; Rodentia; Cricetidae.